This 253-nucleotide ribosomal RNA is filed under the name uncultured bacterium. Its description in RNAcentral is "partial 16S ribosomal RNA". It matches the Rfam family "Bacterial small subunit ribosomal RNA", at positions 524 to 776 of the family's 1533-position model. The record is from RNAcentral.
UACGGGGGGGGUAAGCGUUGUUCGGAAUUACUGGGCGUAAAGGGCUCGUAGGCGGCCAACUAAGUCGGACGUGAAAUCCCUCAGCUUAACUGGGGAACUGCGUCCGAUACUGGAUGGCUUGGAUUCGGGAGAGGAAUGCGGAAUUCCAGGUGUAGCGGUGAAAUGCGUAGAUAUCUGGAGGAACACCGGUGGCGAAGGCGGCAUUCUGGACCGACAUUGACGCUGAGGAGCGAAAGCCAGGGGAGCAAACAGG